AAACUACUCCCUCCGUCCGAAAAUACUUGUCAUCAAAAUGGACAAAAAGAGAUGAAUCUAAAACUAAAAUAUGUCUAGAUACAUUCCUUUUUAUUCAUUUUGAUGACAAGUAUUUCCAGACGGAGGGAGUAUGUG
Molecule: non-coding RNA, 135 nt
Organism: Triticum aestivum (bread wheat)
Lineage: Eukaryota; Viridiplantae; Streptophyta; Magnoliopsida; Poales; Poaceae
Source: Rfam